GAUCAUGGCUCAGGAUGAACGCUAGCUACAGGCUUAACACAUGCAAGUCGAGGGGCAGCAUGAAAGGAACUUCGGUUCUUUUUGAUGGCGACCGGCGCACGGGUGCGUAACGCGUAUCGAACCUGCCUCAUACUCGGGGGAUAGCCUUGCGAAAGUAAGAUUAAUACCCGGCGGUCUCGGACGGCCGCAUGACAGUCCGAGUGAAGAUUUAUCGGUAUGAGAUGGCGAUGCGUCCCAUUAG
This 241-nucleotide ribosomal RNA is filed under the name uncultured bacterium. RNAcentral describes it as "partial 16S ribosomal RNA". It matches the Rfam family "Bacterial small subunit ribosomal RNA", at positions 15 to 244 of the family's 1533-position model. The record is from RNAcentral.